Long non-coding RNA from Vespula vulgaris, 882 nucleotides. RefSeq lists it as uncharacterized. Lineage: Eukaryota; Metazoa; Arthropoda; Insecta; Hymenoptera; Vespidae. The transcript has 4 exons. The record is from RefSeq and is a predicted model, not a curated record.
GAAGUUGAGUGAACCGUUCAUUCUGUUUCGAGUCGUCCUAGAAGCACGUUCUUGAGUACUCUAGAAGAUGGACGGCCCAGAGUAAUAUAAAAGCGCCUCUUCAGUCGCGAUAAUGGAAACCAUCUGUAGCAUUUUAAGCAACACGCUCUCGGAUAUAGUUUUCGAUGCGGCGUCACCACAUACUUUGCGAACAGUCGAUAUUCCUUAUAUAAACGUCAAGAAGAGUGGACCGAAUAAUUCAAGGAACCAUUAGAGAGGAACAUCAAUUGCUACCACGCGCGUUUAUUCCUGGCAAUUAGCUGCGAAAGCGACAGAGCUUCGAUGUUUACUCGUCGGAGUAGAAAGGAUGACUGAUCCGGAAACUGUCUAAAUCAAUCAUUUUACGACUUUACAGAGAGCGACCGAUCGCCAUUUCAAAAUUCAAGUCUAUCGGAAAAUAAAUUAAAAAUAGUUGUUGCUUCGUAGGUGUCCCGUGGGGCGUUUAACGGAAUGUUACUAAAACAGUGGUUUAUUUAACUUCUCGUACAUCUUUUUCGUUCAAAUGGAUUUAAAAUUACCGAAAGUAUUAAGUUUGAAGUUUUCACCUGUGGAAAGUGAAGACAACCUUCAAAUUCAUUCAAAGGACUGGCUGUAUAAAAACAAUAAUGAUCUCGCUGAAUAAUCAAUUGACGCUGAUAAAUGAAGAUAAGAAAAAUUAAAAUAAGCUUUAUCUUAUCGAGAAUGUUGUUUAAAAUGAUAUAGACGAUAUACUCCAUUAUCGUGCCUGGGGGGGUGCUUAUAUAUCGUUCCAUCUGCUGGAGUACCUAGAACCUGCAUGGGUGACUAAGAGACUCAGAAUCAACAGCUUGUAUUCCUCUUUAAAGAAUACAAUAAAUUCAAUGA